RNAcentral lists this ribosomal RNA (253 nucleotides) under uncultured bacterium. RNAcentral's name for it is "partial 16S ribosomal RNA". It matches the Rfam family "Bacterial small subunit ribosomal RNA", at positions 524 to 776 of the family's 1533-position model. The record is from RNAcentral.
GACAGAGGUUGCAAACGUUGUUCGGAAUUACUGGGCAUAAAGCGCACGUAGGCGGUUCGUUAAGUCAUGUGUGAAAUCCCUCGGCUCAACCGAGGAAUUGCGCCUGAUACUGGCGGGCUAGAGAUCGAUAGGGGUGAGUGGAACUCCAGGUGGAGCGGUGAAAUGCGUAGAUAUCUGGAGGAACACCGGUGGCGAAAGCGGCUCACUGGAUCGAUACUGACGCUGAGGUGCGAAAGCGUGGGGAGCAAACAGG